Molecule: unclassified non-coding RNA, 341 nt
Filed under: soil metagenome
Description: partial contains 5.8S ribosomal RNA, internal transcribed spacer 2, and large subunit ribosomal RNA
Rfam family: 5.8S ribosomal RNA (bases 1-120)
Source: RNAcentral
GAUGAAGAACGCAGCAAAAUGCGCUAAGUAAUGUGAAUUGCAGAAUUCAGUGAAUCAUCGAAUCUUUGAACGCACAUUGCGCCCGCCAGUAUUCUGGCGGGCAUGCCUGUUCGAGCGUCAUUUCAACCCUCAAGCCCCCGGGUUUGGUGUUGGGGAUCGGGCUGUACUCCAGCCCGGCCCCGAAAUCUAGUGGCGGUCUCGCUGCAGCCUCCAUUGCGUAGUAGCUAACACCUCGCAACUGGAACGCGGCGCGGCCAAGCCGUUAAACCCCCAACUUCUGAAUGUUGACCUCGGAUCAGGUAGGAAUACCCGCUGAACUUAAGCAUAUCAAUAACGGAGGA